This 1951-nucleotide ribosomal RNA is filed under the name Escherichia coli. Its description in RNAcentral is "partial 23S ribosomal RNA". It matches the Rfam family "Bacterial large subunit ribosomal RNA", at positions 984 to 2915 of the family's 2925-position model. Lineage: Bacteria; Pseudomonadati; Pseudomonadota; Gammaproteobacteria; Enterobacterales; Enterobacteriaceae. The record is from RNAcentral.
CACACGGCGGGUGCUAACGUCCGUCGUGAAGAGGGAAACAACCCAGACCGCCAGCUAAGGUCCCAAAGUCAUGGUUAAGUGGGAAACGAUGUGGGAAGGCCCAGACAGCCAGGAUGUUGGCUUAGAAGCAGCCAUCAUUUAAAGAAAGCGUAAUAGCUCACUGGUCGAGUCGGCCUGCGCGGAAGAUGUAACGGGGCUAAACCAUGCACCGAAGCUGCGGCAGCGACGCUGAUGCGUUGUUGGGUAGGGGAGCGUUCUGUAAGCCUGCGAAGGUGUGCUGUGAGGCAUGCUGGAGGUAUCAGAAGUGCGAAUGCUGACAUAAGUAACGAUAAAGCGGGUGAAAAGCCCGCUCGCCGGAAGACCAAGGGUUCCUGUCCAACGUUAAUCGGGGCAGGGUGAGUCGACCCCUAAGGCGAGGCCGAAAGGCGUAGUCGAUGGGAAACAGGUUAAUAUUCCUGUACUUGGUGUUACUGCGAAGGGGGGACGGAGAAGGCUAUGUUGGCCGGGCGACGGUUGUCCCGGUUUAAGCGUGUAGGCUGGUUUUCCAGGCAAAUCCGGAAAAUCAAGGCUGAGGCGUGAUGACGAGGCACUACGGUGCUGAAGCAACAAAUGCCCUGCUUCCAGGAAAAGCCUCUAAGCAUCAGGUAACAUCAAAUCGUACCCCAAACCGACACAGGUGGUCAGGUAGAGAAUACCAAGGCGCUUGAGAGAACUCGGGUGAAGGAACUAGGCAAAAUGGUGCCGUAACUUCGGGAGAAGGCACGCUGAUAUGUAGGUGAAGUCCCUCGCGGAUGGAGCUGAAAUCAGUCGAAGAUACCAGCUGGCUGCAACUGUUUAUUAAAAACACAGCACUGUGCAAACACGAAAGUGGACGUAUACGGUGUGACGCCUGCCCGGUGCCGGAAGGUUAAUUGAUGGGGUUAGCGCAAGCGAAGCUCUUGAUCGAAGCCCCGGUAAACGGCGGCCGUAACUAUAACGGUCCUAAGGUAGCGAAAUUCCUUGUCGGGUAAGUUCCGACCUGCACGAAUGGCGUAAUGAUGGCCAGGCUGUCUCCACCCGAGACUCAGUGAAAUUGAACUCGCUGUGAAGAUGCAGUGUACCCGCGGCAAGACGGAAAGACCCCGUGAACCUUUACUAUAGCUUGACACUGAACAUUGAGCCUUGAUGUGUAGGAUAGGUGGGAGGCUUUGAAGUGUGGACGCCAGUCUGCAUGGAGCCGACCUUGAAAUACCACCCUUUAAUGUUUGAUGUUCUAACGUGGACCCGUAAUCCGGGUUGCGGACAGUGUCUGGUGGGUAGUUUGACUGGGGCGGUCUCCUCCUAAAGAGUAACGGAGGAGCACGAAGGUUGGCUAAUCCUGGUCGGACAUCAGGAGGUUAGUGCAAUGGCAUAAGCCAGCUUGACUGCGAGCGUGACGGCGCGAGCAGGUGCGAAAGCAGGUCAUAGUGAUCCGGUGGUUCUGAAUGGAAGGGCCAUCGCUCAACGGAUAAAAGGUACUCCGGGGAUAACAGGCUGAUACCGCCCAAGAGUUCAUAUCGACGGCGGUGUUUGGCACCUCGAUGUCGGCUCAUCACAUCCUGGGGCUGAAGUAGGUCCCAAGGGUAUGGCUGUUCGCCAUUUAAAGUGGUACGCGAGCUGGGUUUAGAACGUCGUGAGACAGUUCGGUCCCUAUCUGCCGUGGGCGCUGGAGAACUGAGGGGGGCUGCUCCUAGUACGAGAGGACCGGAGUGGACGCAUCACUGGUGUUCGGGUUGUCAUGCCAAUGGCACUGCCCGGUAGCUAAAUGCGGAAGAGAUAAGUGCUGAAAGCAUCUAAGCACGAAACUUGCCCCGAGAUGAGUUCUCCCUGACUCCUUGAGAGUCCUGAAGGAACGUUGAAGACGACGACGUUGAUAGGCCGGGUGUGUAAGCGCAGCGAUGCGUUGAGCUAACCGGUACUAAUGAACCGUGAG